This is a non-coding RNA of Danio rerio (zebrafish), 4056 nucleotides long. The record is from RefSeq and is a predicted model, not a curated record. NCBI's taxonomy places the organism in Eukaryota, Metazoa, Chordata, Actinopteri, Cypriniformes, Danionidae.
UCCGUCAUUUCCUCUCUCCACAGACAGGAGGGUGGGGACAAACAGCUGGUAAGUGAUGCCGUGAUCCGACCGCCGAGCGGGCUGUUUUUCACACCGAUUACCGCCUUUCCCGGAGCCACCACAGGCUUUACAGACAGGAACUGUGCUGGACUAUCUGCUGUCAUAUACUGAAAGAGCAGGCUUUUACAGGAGACAGACGCUCUGAAAGACGCCAGACGCUCAGAUGAGGAGUGUUUGUAAAAGGAAAUGACCGAGAGGCCUUACAGAUAGUUUGUGCUUCUGCUGCAGUCGGAGUUUGCAGAGAGAGAGAGAGAGAGAGACCCCCUAUCUGGAAGCACAUUUGUUUCCGCUGUGAGUAUUAACUACCUCAGACACUGGAAACUGAUCAAGAGGCGUUCGGCGAACUCUGUCUGUUCCUGCAGCUCACACACACAGACCAGACCCUCUGACCGACUGGAUCCGUCAGAGCGGCACAGGCCACGUCACCCUGUAGCUCACACCACUGCUUUCCCUCUCCGCUAAAUCCACAGAUUUUUACAGAUAUUUUUUUUUCUAUUUUUGUUAGAGGAAAAAGUUCUGAAAGAAGGAUUUUUCACUUGCAUUUUUUGAAGGAUCGAUCAUGCACUUUGGAUUUUCACCCAGGAUUGAAGCUAAGUGGAGACGCUAACUGGGAUAUAAACGCUGUGUUGCAGCUGGUCUGCAAAACUCGCCAUCUCUCAGGAGCGGAUACUGUCAUGACUUCCCCUCGGAUGGGAUCUUUAAGCUGUCUAUUUACUUGAUUCCAGGAGAGCAGAAUUAGACAUCGAGAGCGUGCGCGCAUUGAAAGGUGUCCGCUUGGUGAGGACCGACACUCCUUGGGCUCAUUGAAUACUUAUGUAUUGUUGCAGUGCACAGGAAAGUAAAAUGGACUACAAGCUGCGCUUUUUGCUUGGCGGGUCCAAGCACAAAGUGCAGCAGCACCAGCAGUUCCAGUUACCCGAGCUCAGCCGGACCCUCAGCGCCCCAUUGGGCUCUUCUUGCUCCACCCCAUCUCCAAUGGUGACCAUAGGCUCCUCCCCUUCUGGCUGUCACGCCCCGCCCCCUGGCACCACUACAGCGAUUGCGGACAUCCAGCAGGGCAUCUCCAAAUACCUGGACGCACUGAACGCGUUCUGCCGUGCGAGCGCCUUCCUGACGGAGCUCUUUGGCAGCGUUUUCCGGGACUCCCGUUACUCCAAAGCAGCUAUGCAACUGAAGGACGUGCAGGAACAUGUCAUGGAAACGACCAGCCGGCUCACCACAGCAAUAAAGCCAGAGAUCGGCAAAAUGCUGAUGGAGCUCAGCGCAGGCGCGGCUAACUUCAAAGACCAGAACGACUUCAGCCUGCAGGACGUGGAGGUGCUCGGCCGCUGCUUCCUGACGGUGAUGCAGGUUCAUUUCCAGUUCCUGUCGCAGGCGCUGCAGAAGGUGCAGCCGGUGGCUCAGUCCUGCUUGGCAGAGGCGCUGGCACAGGUUCAAGAGAGACGCGGGAAUGCCCACAUGCAGAACCACCUGAGCGAGCUGGAGGAGGCCAUCAGAUCAUGGAGAGGAGCUGCUGAGGUGACGGCGUGUCUCAGGGAGAGAGGUAGAGAUGGUUGUCUGUCUGGUAUUCAGGUACAGCAGCUCUUCUGCUCUCAGAACACCUCCAUACCUGAACACCAACUCAAAGAGCUCAACGCCAAGAUCGACAACGCUCUGCAGGCGUAUAAAGUGGCGCUGGACUCGUUGGGUCACAGUGAAUAUGCUCUGAAGGCCGGAUUUCACCUUAAUCCCAAAUCAGUGGAAGCAGCUUUGCAGGGCUGCUGUAGUGACGCUGAAGCCCAGCAGGCCGGACGCUUUCACACCACGUCUCAGCCCAUCCAGUGUGAAUUACCUACAAUCCCUGUGCAGAUCGGCUCUCAUCUUCUCCGAGGAGUUUCCUUCAAUGAAAGCGCAUCAGACAACCUCAAGCUUAAAACGCAUGCCGUGGUGCAGCUGAUCAAGGAUGCUGUGGAUCAGAACGGUGUGUCGGUGCGAGAGGAUUUGCCCAUCACUGAGGUGCUGAAUCAGGUGUGUCCCUCCAGCUGGAGAGGAGCCUGUAAAACAGCCGUUCAGCUGCUGUUCGGACAGGCCGGACUGGUUGUGGUCGACACAGCUCAGAUUGAGAAUAAGGAAGCUUAUGCCCCUCAGAUUUGUCUUGAAGGAUCCAAGGUUGUGAUACAGGUUCCUUCUACAUGGUGUCUGAAGGAGGAUCCGGCCACCAUGUCUCUGCUGCAGCGCAGUCUGGAUCCGGAGAAGACUCUGGGUCUGGUGGAUGUGCUUUACACAGCUGUGUUUGACCUGCAGCGCUGGAAAGAGCGCAAGGAACAGACUCUUCCCACCAUCCAGAUCCAGCUCCAGCGGGACACAUCUGAUUAUGGCAGCCCCGUGGAUCUUCCUCCCGGAAACAGCACCAAAUCCUCCGGCGGCCUCCCGAAAACCAUCUCCAAACUCACCUCUCGCUUCACCAAGAAAGCUAACUCUUCUAACUCCAGUGCGGGGGGCAGUUUCUCCAUCCCCAGCACCCCGUCCCGCAGCAGCAGCAGUGGAGGAGGGUCAGAUGAUAAAGCAGGACGUCUGCACAGCCUCCUGCAGAUGAGCAGCAUGAACACCGCAGAUCCGCAGAUUUCUAACGGUGCCGCCUCUGAUGAGCAGGGCAUGAAUCUGCCCACCGAUCAGGAGAUGCAGGACGUCAUCGACUUCCUCUCGGGAUUCAACAUGGGCAAAUCCCAGCAGGCGUCUCCGCUGGUCAAGAGACGAAACUCUGUGGCGUCUACAAACGCAGCCGAUCUGAAACCGCCGCCAUCCUCACAGGCCCAUAAUGCUGUGCAGACACUGACUCAAACCCUACAGCAAACACAACAACAGCAACAACAACAACAGCAGCAACAACAGCAGCAACAACAGCAGCAGCAGCUUCCUUCAACACCAAAACAGCAGCCACCGCAGCCAAACUCUCAGUCUCUGCCGUUUUACCAGCAUCUCCUGCAGCCCAUUGGUCAAUCUCAGCAACAGCCGGCACCGGUGUCCCCCCAGCAGCCUCCGCCGCAAUCCAGAGCUGCCCCCAGUAAGUGGCCCCAGGGCCCAAUGGCAGGCAUGUCUCCGAUCGGACCCCUGCCGCAGUGGCCGGCGCCGGGUCUGCCGGACCUGAGCUCUGACCUGUACAGUCUGGGGCUGGUCAGCUCCUAUAUGGACAGCAUGAUGUCGGAGAUGCUGGGACACAAGCCUCCGCAGGGGCCGCGCAACAACACCUGGCCUAACCGAGAGCAGAGCGAGCAGAGCUUGUUUGGGGUGCUGGGAGACUCCAUGCCCUUUGACCCCGCAGUGGGCUCGGAUCCAGAGUUUGCGCGGUAUGUAGCAGGGGUCAAUCAGGCCAUGCAGCAGAAACGGCAGGCUCAACAUGUUCGGCGGCCCAGCAACAGUCGCAGUAACUGGCCUCAUCCAGACGAGCAGCACCGGGGCUGGACUCACCCCGAAUACUACAGUGAAGGGGAGGCGGUCAAUAGCGGCUGGUCAGCCAAUCAGGGGGAUUCGGCCAGCUCAAGUGACGAGACCUCCUCAGCCAAUGGGGACAGUCUGUUCUCCAUGUUCUCUGGGCCGGACCUGGUGGCGGCUGUUAAACAGAGACGGAAACACAGCUGUGGUGAACAGGAAGUUUGCACUCUGCCCUCUCCUCCACUCCACCACACCAGUGACGACAGCAGUCAGGACAGCAAAACUAAAACCUGGCCUCCUAAAGCCCCGUGGCAGCACUCCUCCCACACCAACACCAUGCCCAAUCCCAGCUCUUCCCUCUACCAGAUGACCAUACCCUCCAGCCAAUGGGGCGACUCCAUGCAAAUGCUGCAGUCUCCAGUGUGGUCGACAGCCAAUGACUGCCCUCCAUCUUCAGGCUUUCCUUUCACACAACAACAACAACAGCAGCAGCAGCAGGUUUCCCAGCACAAGAUCCUGAGCAAAGGCUUCAAAACCUUCCCUCUGAAACCUGAACACCGACCAUCAUACCUGCACCAGUACUGA